This 301-nucleotide ribosomal RNA is filed under the name uncultured bacterium. Its description in RNAcentral is "partial 16S ribosomal RNA". It matches the Rfam family "Bacterial small subunit ribosomal RNA", at positions 509 to 807 of the family's 1533-position model. The record is from RNAcentral.
CAGUCGCCACGGUAAUACGAAGGGUGCAAGCGUUACUCGGAAUUACUGGGCGUAAAGCGUGCGUAGGUGGUGGUUUAAGUCCGUUGUGAAAGCCCUGGGCUCAACCUGGGAAUGGCAAUGGAUACUGGCGAGCUAGAGUGUGUCAGAGGAUGGUGGAAUUCCCGGUGUAGCGGUGAAAUGCGUAGAGAUCGGGAGGAACAUCAGUGGCGAAGGCGGCCAUCUGGGACAACACUGACGCUGAGGCACGAAAGCGUGGGGAGCAAACAGGAUUAGAGACCCCCGUAGUCCCUGUCUCUUAUAC